AGGGGUAUAGCUCAGUUGGUAGAGUGCUUGCCUCCCAUGCACAAGGCCCUGGGUUCAAUCCCCAGCACCACAA
RNAcentral lists this transfer RNA (73 nucleotides) under Ictidomys tridecemlineatus (thirteen-lined ground squirrel). RNAcentral's name for it is "Spermophilus tridecemlineatus (thirteen-lined ground squirrel) tRNA". It matches the Rfam family "tRNA". Rfam says of the family: Transfer RNA (tRNA) molecules are approximately 80 nucleotides in length. Their secondary structure includes four short double-helical elements and three loops (D, anti-codon, and T loops). The record is from Rfam by way of RNAcentral. Lineage: Eukaryota; Metazoa; Chordata; Mammalia; Rodentia; Sciuridae.